CUAGGCGAAUUAUUCUUUGUUGGGCAGUCGGAGAACGAUGUUGAAAACAAAGUCGUCGUACAUUGGUGCUUGAAUUUUAACCAACCUAUUAAUUUUGUGUUUGAAUGGUAACAUUCGUACUCUAAUUGCUCUUAUUCUGAAGAAUGGCGUAGGGAUAAUGUCUGUUAUGACUACCAGAGCCAUAUAUUGAACAUUGAACAACUAGGCGAAUUUCUGACAGCUGCUUGAAUUUUUUGAUUCUUUUCUGAUGGCGUAUUCGCUUGGAUGCACUGAGUGCGUACUGAGUGCGACUAAGGCUUGUCCAUAAUCUAUUUUUCAUUUAAGAACGGCUUACAUAAAUCUUCAAAUACUUUUUAACCAGUGAAAUGCUCUAUAUAACAUCCGUACGAAUCAUUUUGAUGACUAAGAAGUUAAUGAAAAUGUAUUUGAAACAACUUUAAAUUUAAGAAUGGACUAUGAACAAGCCUUAAUCGCACUCAGUGCAUCCAAGCGAAUACACCAUGAAGCAUUAGGCCUGUUCGUUUUGUCUGCACUGUUGAACUGGUGCAUUAAGUUAAAGUGAGACAAACGUAGAUUUUCUCAUUCCAACUUGUUGCACCAGUUCAGCAGUGCAAGCAAAACGAACAAGCCUAUUAGAUGUGUUAAACAGUACUUGGCAAGACAUUUAUUACAAGAAUAUUCAAUAUCAAAUACUGUUGAUGGACCAAAUAUAAUUGAUAAUUGCACAUCUUAUAUAAGACAACAUUGCACAUCAUCUUAUACAAGAGGCAUUUCUUUUAAAGAAAAGUUAAUGUUUUGGGCAAAUGAACACAAAGUUCAACAUCAUGCUUUAUCGUCAUUGCUCAAAAUAUUAAAAACUGAAGGUCAUGACGAUUUUCCUAAUGAUGCAAGAACAUUAUUGAACACUCCACGAUGUACAAAUAUUUAUAAGACAUCAGGUGGUGAUUAUUAUCAUCAUGGUUUAAAAAAUGGAAUCAUCAAUAUACUAUGUCAGCAAAAUAACAACUGUUCUUUAUGGACAGAUGAAUCAUUUAAAUUCCGACAGAAUCCAGAACAUCAUACUGGUAUAUCUUCUUUUGAAGAAAUUCCAUUACCAAUGGUCCUCGCAUUGCAGCCCGAUUAUCUGGAUUGCAAAAUGGAACUCCUGUUAUCAUUGGUCAAGAAUAUAUUAAUUAUUCAAGUUAUACUUUAUAUCCAUGUGAUUCGAGGCAUAUAAAUGUUUUUGUGAUCGAUGACGAUUUAACUGAGUUGAAAUGUUUUCCUAUUUCUGAAAUAUCUAAGAAAGCUGUUGUACUCCCAUGGAAUGGGGAGGAGCGAUUUUGCGCUUUUCCACUACUACAUUCCGAUAUAUUGGAAGAUGUUGUAGUGUGUAGUGAUAGGUACAAACUGGUGCUCAGUUGUUCCCCAGUCAUGGGUUAAUAACGAGGAAAAGACGUGUUUAUGGCCCCC
This 1449-nucleotide unclassified non-coding RNA is filed under the name Harpegnathos saltator (Jerdon's jumping ant). Its description in RNAcentral is "uncharacterized LOC109504195, transcript variant X3". Lineage: Eukaryota; Metazoa; Arthropoda; Insecta; Hymenoptera; Formicidae. The record is from RNAcentral.